AGAGAUGUGUGAUGACGCAUAUCAAUAAGCGGAGGAAAAGAAACUAACAAGGAUUCCCCUAGUAACGGCGAGUGAAGCGGGAAGAGCUCAAAUUUGAAAUCUUCAAGGUUCUACCUUGACGAAUUGUAGUUUAUAGAAGUGUUUUCUGUUAGUGGAGUGGCAAAAGUUCUUUGGAAUAGGACAUCAUAGAGGGUGAGAAUCCCGUAUUUGGUCAUUCCUCCUAGCGUUGUGAUACACUUUCAACGAGUCGGAUUGUUUGGGAAUGCAGUCCAAAAUGGGUGGUAAAUUUCAUCUAAAGCUAAAUAUUGGCGAGAGACCGAUAGCGAACAAGUACCGUGAGGGAAAGAUGAAAAGAACUUUGAAAAGAGAGUUAAACAGUACGUGAAAUUGUCAAAAGGGAAGCGUUUGACACCAGUGUUGUUUUUCCGAAAAUCAAUUACGAAUGUUUUAGUUUUUGAGGAGUUAUGACUUCAUCGGCUUGCUCCUUUCUUUAUGAAACUUUCUUAAUGCACUUUUCGGUUAACAAGUCAACAUCAAUUUCUUUUGUUGUAAAAGGGUAUGAGGAAGGUGGCUUUCUUUUCGGAGAAAGUGUUUAUAGCCUUGUGCCUCUGCAAUCGGAGAGAUUGAGGUCUGCAGCGUAGAUCCUUCGGGGUUAGAUACAUUUGUGCUAAGUUAUAGCUUUUCAUAGACAACUUGUUGACUAUGUUAAGUCUUGUAGCUUACUCGCUUAUGCUAUUUUACCUACGCUUAGGAUGUUGACGAUCAGCUGAGCGCG
This 775-nucleotide ribosomal RNA is filed under the name uncultured Neocallimastigales. Its description in RNAcentral is "partial large subunit ribosomal RNA". It matches the Rfam family "Eukaryotic large subunit ribosomal RNA", at positions 23 to 646 of the family's 3401-position model. Lineage: Eukaryota; Fungi; Neocallimastigomycota; Neocallimastigomycetes; Neocallimastigales. The record is from RNAcentral.